UAUAUAUUAUAUAUUAAUAUCUAAUUAAAUUAAUCUAAUAAUAUUAAAUUUUAUUACUAUUAUAAAUAAUUAAAUGAUAUCGUUCUCAAAAUUAAGAGUAGACUAAUAUAAGUUACUAUAGAGUGUGCCAUAAAUCAGUCGAUGAUAUCAUUCGCAAAACUAAGCCACUAGUAUGCAAUGCAGAGCGAAUUUGGCAUCGAAGGAAGUGUCAACGUUCGUAAAAGGAUAGAGCCAGAUAUAAAAUUCGAAUAUAUUAAAUCGGUUUAAAGUAGUCGAGAUCGAAGUUUAUUCAACCUGUUUAAUGAGAAAAAACGUUUUUAAUAUAAGUGUAUAGUAUUUAUAAUUUCUUGUAUACCACUACGUUGGGGUUGCGGCCACAUCGUGUCUCGCCUGGAAAGUUAUGUCGCCCUGUUGGAUGGGUGACGCUCGCACAUGAACUCGCCAGCAACCCCUGCACGUCGUUUGCCGAACCGUUAGUACGCGUCAACGCGAGUUACGAGCGUGCACGCGUGUGCACCACGCGUGUAACGAACGUGUGUCCCUUCGCUAAGUCGGGGAUUAACGCGUGUUGCUUCUUUUCGACGGAACAGUCGGUAGCUGAGAAGAGGGAUGAGGAGGAAAACUGAUGAGGAAUUUCGAAGAACGGCGGCUGUUGUGGAAAUACCGCCGAGGUUUGUGCACUGUGUAUAUCGUUUUAUGGAAGGAUUUUUAU
Long non-coding RNA from Apis laboriosa (Himalayan honeybee), 712 nucleotides. RefSeq lists it as uncharacterized. The transcript is spliced from 3 exons. The record is from RefSeq and is a predicted model, not a curated record. Lineage: Eukaryota; Metazoa; Arthropoda; Insecta; Hymenoptera; Apidae.